CCUACGGGAGGCAGCAGUGGGGAAUAUUGGGCAAUGGGCGCAAGCCUGACGAAGCAACGCCGCGUGAAGGAAGAAGGCCUUCGGGUUGUAAACUUCUGUUGGCAGGGAAGAAGAGAGUGACGGUAACUGACGAAUAAGCCACGGCUAACUGCGUGCCAGCAGCCGGGGAAAUACGUAGGAGGCAAGCGUUAAACGGGUUUACUGGGUGUAAAGGGCGUGUAGGCGGGGGGUCAAGUCAGACGUGAAAUUCCCGCGCUCAACGUGGGAACUGCGUUUGAAACUGUUAUUCUUGAGUGUUGGAGAGGCUGGUGGAAUUCCGGGUGUAGCAGUGAAAUCCGUAGAUAUACGGAGGAACAUCAGUGGCGAAGGCGACCAUCUGGACAUUAACUGACGCUGAGGAGCGAAAGCGUGGGUAGCAAACAGGAUUAGAUACCCCAGUAGUC
This 443-nucleotide ribosomal RNA is filed under the name uncultured bacterium. RNAcentral describes it as "partial 16S ribosomal RNA". It matches the Rfam family "Bacterial small subunit ribosomal RNA", at positions 338 to 795 of the family's 1533-position model. The record is from RNAcentral.